CCAUAGCGACUAUCGUGGCAUAUCAAUAAGCGGAGGAAAAGAAACUAACAAGGAUUCCCUUAGUAACGGCGAGUGAAGCGGGAAGAGCUCAAAUUUGAAAUCUUCAAGGUUCUACCUUGACGAAUUGUAGUUUAAAGAAGUGUUUUCUGUUGGAGUUUUGGUAAAAGUUCCUUGGAAUAGGACAUCAUAGAGGGUGAGAAUCCCGUAUUUGACCAUUAUUUCCAACUUUGUGAUACACUUUCAAAGAGUCGGAUUGUUUGGGAAUGCAGUCCAAAAUGGGUGGUAAAUUUCAUCUAAAGCUAAAUAUUGGCGAGAGACCGAUAGCGAACAAGUACCGUGAGGGAAAGAUGAAAAGAACUUUGAAAAGAGAGUUAAACAGUACGUGAAAUUGUCAAAAGGGAAGCGUUUGACACCAGUGUUGUUUAGUUGAAAAUCAAUUCAAUAAUUUUUGAUUUUAAGUAGUAUUGACUUCAUCGGCUUGCUGCUUUCUUUUCAGGAAUUAUUGAAUGCACUUUUCAGUUAACAAGUCAACAUCAAUUUCUUUUGUUGUAAAAGGGUAAGAGGAAGGUGGCUUACGCUUCGGCGUAAGUGUUUAUAGCCUUUUACCUCUGCAAUCGGAGAGAUUGAGGACAGCAGCGUAGACUCCUUCGGGGGUUAGAUACACUUGUGCUAAGCUAUAGCCUUGUAUAGACAACUUGUUGACUAUGCUCAGUCAUGUAGCUUACUCGCUUGUGCUAUUUUACCUACGCUUAGGAUGUUGACGCGCGUGUGUGCGUG
RNAcentral lists this ribosomal RNA (777 nucleotides) under uncultured Neocallimastigales. RNAcentral's name for it is "partial large subunit ribosomal RNA". It matches the Rfam family "Eukaryotic large subunit ribosomal RNA", at positions 22 to 637 of the family's 3401-position model. The record is from RNAcentral. Lineage: Eukaryota; Fungi; Neocallimastigomycota; Neocallimastigomycetes; Neocallimastigales.